This 1272-nucleotide long non-coding RNA is filed under the name Capra hircus (goat). RNAcentral's name for it is "lncRNA (ENSCHIG00010008241.1)". The record is from RNAcentral. Lineage: Eukaryota; Metazoa; Chordata; Mammalia; Artiodactyla; Bovidae.
AGACUUUAUCAGUUCUUUACAAUAACCAUAAUUUUCCAAUCCCCAAUCAAGCCCACAACUUGAGGGUCACUCUUGGGUAUAAGAGGCAAGUUGGAUACUAAAAUAUUGCAGUUUGUAAUGAUUAGAGGAAUCAGGAUUAGAUUAGGCAUGACAAGAACUAUGGAGGAAAUAAGUCAAGCUAUUUGAAAUCGAGGUUGUCUUGGAAAAUCCAAGCUGUAUCGUCUCUGUACAGGUAUUGUAUUCUGUUUUCUAGCGAGACCCUCUGAAAAUACUUGAACCUUCCUUCUCUUCACCACUCACUCCUUGCUUUCCCCAGCCUCGCACAUCCAUUGCAUUCAUCCCCAAUCAACACAUUACAUGGUUUUUCCAUGAGUCAUCCUUUAUUGCUGUUUGAAGUCAUAAAUUAUUGGCGCAAGACGCAGUGGGUUUCAAAGCAAAUGACAGAAGGAAACACAGUUUGCAGGUGGGAUGAGGCAAAGGGAGCUUCUCAACAAGAGAGCUGCUGCCCCCGCUCCUCUGAGGCAGAAGGCGGAACUUCUUCCCUUUAAGUGUGCACGUGCGGUGCUCGAAGUCCAGGACGGCGUUGUGGUCCUGGAGCACGUCGGUGCCAAUGAUUGCUUCCUCUGCACUCGCGUUGGCCACUUUCACCACAUUUUCAAAGGGCCGCAGCGUAUCCAAGUCGCCAUCGGUGACCUCCUCCCACAAGCUUGGGUGGACCACGGAGACCUGGGCCCCGGAGUCCACCAGGAACCUCACGGGCACUUUGCCAAUUUUCCCUUUGAGGUAGUAGCCCUUACCCAUGCUGUUGGCAAAGACGAUCUCCUUGGGCAGGUGGCUGUGGGCAGCUUCAGGCCCCCCGAAGGUCUUCAGGAGGGUCUCUUUCACAGCCCCGUAGUUUCCCUGGUCCUCGGGACUGAGACCGUUGAAGGCCCCCAGGGCGUCUCCCCUGAGGGACUCUUUCAGGAACCUCAGCUUGGUGAUGUGGUCCCAGUGGUUGAGGUGGUUGAUGACCUCAAAGCGAUGCAGCCAGAGGUGUGGGGCCACACUGGCUCCAUCGAAAGGCUCUGGGACGAAGGCACGCUCCCGGCUCCUGACUCCGCUCCCGGCCAUCCCUCUGCUCCCUUCUGGAACGGCAGCAACAACCCACAGCAGGUAGAGAAAGCCACAGAGCAGUGUCAGCGCAAUCACGCUGGAGAGCAAGGCUUCUCUAAGCAGACUGUUGCUGGGUGCCCGCUGUUGGCAAGCUGGAGGGACCAGGCGAAGGCUGUCUGA